RNAcentral lists this ribosomal RNA (351 nucleotides) under Triticum aestivum (bread wheat). Its description in RNAcentral is "partial small subunit ribosomal RNA". The record is from RNAcentral. Lineage: Eukaryota; Viridiplantae; Streptophyta; Magnoliopsida; Poales; Poaceae.
AUGGAAGCCACCGCAGGCCUCCACCUCGACCAGCGCCACCAUGGACCAGCGCCGCCGUCGAGCGCCAUGGCUUCCACUUCAAGCUUCUGUGCCGCCCGGAGCUCCUCGAGACCAGCCGGAUCCGUGUGCUACCUCGACUCCAGCCUGUCAGAGUCGCUUCACCGCGGCCUCCCCUGCCUCCAUGGACGCGUCCAGCACCGGAACAACAUCACUGCCUUGUUCCUUCUCCCCUGCAGCCAUGGGCGCCUCAAGCUAGGGCUUGCCUUGCCGCCCUUGCAACCUCGUCCUCGCCUUCGCGCCUCAACCGGCCUCGUCGUCGCCGGGAACCCCAUGCUGCCGCCGCCGCGCUAA